RNAcentral lists this ribosomal RNA (499 nucleotides) under uncultured bacterium. RNAcentral describes it as "partial 16S ribosomal RNA". It matches the Rfam family "Bacterial small subunit ribosomal RNA", at positions 28 to 523 of the family's 1533-position model. The record is from RNAcentral.
GUUGAACGCUGGCGGCAUGCCUUACACAUGCAAGUCGAACGGCAGCACGGGAGCAAUCCUGGUGGCGAGUGGCGAACGGGUGAGUAAAGUAUCGGAACGUGCCCAGUCGUGGGGGAUAACGUAGCGAAAGUUACGCUAAUACCGCAUACGAUCUAUGGAUGAAAGCGGGGGAUCGCAAGACCUCGCGCGAUUGGAGCGGCGAUAUCAGAUUAGGUAGUUGGUGGGGUAAAGGCUCACCAAGCCGACGAUCUGUAGCUGGUCUGAGAGGACGACCAGCCAAACUGGGACUGAGACACGGCCCAGACUCCUACGGGAGGCAGCAGUGGGGAAUUUUGGACAAUGGGCGAAAGCCUGAUCCAGCCAUGCCGCGUGCAGGAUGAAGGCCUUCGGGUUGUAAACUGCUUUUGUACGGAACGAAAAGGUUUGGCCUAAUAAGCUGAGCUCAUGACGGUACCGUAAGAAUAAGCACCGGCUAACUACGUGCCAGCAGCCGCCGUAA